GACGAACGCUGGCGGCGUGCUUAACACAUGCAAGUCGAACGGAAAGGCCCUGCUUUUGUGGGGUGCUCGUGUGGCGAACGGGUGAGUAACACGUGAGUAACCUGCCCUUGACUUUGGGAUAACUUCAGGAAACUGGGGCUAAUACCGGGUAGGAUCUCCUGCUCCAUGUUGUGGGUUGGAAAGUUUCGGCGGUUGGGGCUGGACUCGCGGCUUAUCAGCUUGUUUGUGGAGUAGUUGCUUACCAAGGCUUUGACGGGUAGCCUGCCUGAGAGGGUGAACGGCCACAUUGGGACUGAGAUACGGCCCAGAAUCGUACGGGCGGCAGCAGUGGGGAAUAUUGCACAAUGGGCGGAAGCCUGAUGCAGCAACGCCGCGUGCGGGAUGACGGCUUUCGGGUUGUAAACAGAUUUCGAAUGUGACGAAGCGUGAGUGACGGUAAUGGGUAAAGAAGCAACGGCUAACUACGUG
This 468-nucleotide ribosomal RNA is filed under the name uncultured bacterium. RNAcentral describes it as "partial 16S ribosomal RNA". It matches the Rfam family "Bacterial small subunit ribosomal RNA", at positions 28 to 507 of the family's 1533-position model. The record is from RNAcentral.